Molecule: ribosomal RNA, 160 nt
Filed under: uncultured bacterium
Lineage: Bacteria
Description: partial 16S ribosomal RNA
Rfam family: Bacterial small subunit ribosomal RNA
Source: RNAcentral
CCUACGGGAGGCAGCAGUGAGGAAUAUUGGUCAAUGGGCGAAAGCCUGAACCAGCCAUGCCGCGUGCAGGAAGAUUGCCCUAUGGGUUGUAAACUGCUUUUAUACAGGAAGAAACACUCGGACGUGUCCGAGCAUGACGUUACUGUAGAAUACGACCCCA